Papaver somniferum (opium poppy) is the source of this 1182-nucleotide long non-coding RNA. RefSeq lists it as uncharacterized. The record is from RefSeq and is a predicted model, not a curated record. Lineage: Eukaryota; Viridiplantae; Streptophyta; Magnoliopsida; Ranunculales; Papaveraceae. The transcript is spliced from 3 exons.
UGCUCCGUUCCACUUUUCCUCGAAGAAGAGAAAAAAAAUGAUUUUUACUCAUAAAAUUAACAAAUUUAUUUAUCUUAGAAAAAUAAAAACAAAAUCCAGGAAAAUAAAAAGAAAAAAAUCGAGAGAACAAAAAAAUGAAACCCUUAAAAAAACCUAAAAACCAUUCUUCUCUGCCGCCCUCCAUCUCUUGCCUCUUUCCUUCUCUGGUCUCCUUUGAUUUAUUUUAUCUCUUGAUUUCUCAUUGUGUUAUUGAUUAAUAGGAUCGAAGAAGUAAGGCACAUAUAUGUAACAGCUUGGCUCAGCGAAAGAAAAGAUGCAGCAGUUGUAGUGUGGCAGAUAUAUCCUAAUCGCUAGAAGUACUACUCAUGCCUUAUAAUAUGCAAGAGAGGUGGAAGCUGGUCUGAUGGAAUACAAACUAGACAUCAUCAUUAGUGUGCAUCCCCUUAUGCAACACAUUCCCUUAUGGGUGCUUAAAUGGCAGAGCCUUCAGAAGAAGGUUGUAUUUGUUACUGUUAUUACAGAUCUCAACACAUGCCAUUGCACACGGUGAUCUCUUUUACUCUUAUCAGUGUGAAUUAAUGCCUCUGCUGCUCCCAUAUAUUCAGGAAUAGUUUUAAAUUGGCUUUCAAAUGAGUGAAAUAUUUUACAAGAAGUAUAUUUUAGACCAUGCGUUUGAUGCACAGAAGAGGGAUCAGUUUAUUCAUAAUAUCAUACUUCGCUUGAGGAUGAUCUCUGAGCUUAUACAAUCAUCUUUGGUAUGAGUGAUAUCGAUGUUGCCUUGAGAUGUUGAAGCCUGCUAAGUGUUUGGUAUACUUGAGACGGAGUUAAAUGUUGGUAUUUGAAUUUGCAAAAUUAGAGAUGGCCGUGUCAUGGUUGGUGUUGCAAAACCAGGGUUUGAUGCAUGUUGUUGGGAAGAGAUAAUUAUCUAAUUCUUUAUCUAUGAACUGAACUAAAUAAAACCCAUCGUAGUUAAAUAUGAUUUAAAACUCAUUAAUUGAAAGUUUGGAUAUUUAUGUGUUUAGUUUAACUUUAAAAUAUCAUCGUUAUAGGAUUAGUGCGUGCUUCAGAUGGACUCACAGCUACAAUUGCCCAUUUGAAACAGUGAUUACACUUCGUGGAACCAUUUUUCACGAUUUGGAGUAAUUCUGGCACUCCGACUCAAAACAUAGUAGAUAUAGGUAC